Molecule: non-coding RNA, 2772 nt
Organism: Sus scrofa (pig)
Lineage: Eukaryota; Metazoa; Chordata; Mammalia; Artiodactyla; Suidae
Source: RefSeq, a predicted model, not a curated record
GGCGGUCGCCUGGUAACCAGUUGCGUAGGUCUGGUUGCUGCAGCGCAGGCCACGGAGGUCUGUGGGUCCGAGCUCGCGCUGCGCUCUUUCGGACCGUUUUGCUAUGGCGGCCGCCGCAGCAGUGGUCACACCGUCGGGUUUGGAGGAUGGGGUGUCUCGGUCCCGUGGCGAAGAAGCAGGGGAGGUGGUCGUGGAGCGGGGGCCUGGCGCGGCCUACCACAUGUUCGUAGUGAUGGAGGACCUAGUGGAGAAGUUGAAGCUGCUCCGUUAUGAGGAGGAUCUCCUCCGGAAGAACAAUCUGAAGCCCCCGUCCAGACACUAUUUUGCACUGCCUACCAAUCCUGGGGAACAGUUCUACAUGUUUUGCACUCUUGCUGCUUGGUUAAUUAACAAAGCGGGACACCCCUUUGAGCAGCCUCAAGAAUACGAUGACCCUAAUGCAACGAUUUCUAACAUAUUAUCUGAGCUUCGAUCAUUGGGAGAACUGCAGAUUUUCCUCCUUCAAAAUUAAAGUCAGGUUAUGGAGAGCAUGUAUGCUAUGUUCUUGACUGUUUAGCUGAAGAAGCAUUAAAAUAUAUUGGUUUCACCUGGAAAAGACCAACAUACCCAGUGGAAGAAUUAGAAGAAGAAACUGUUGCGGAAGAUGAUGCAGAAUUAACAUUAAAUAAAGUGGAUGAAGAAUUUGUGGAAGAGGAAACAGACAAUGAAGAAAACUUUAUUGAUCUCAAUGUUUUGAAGGCUCAGACCUAUCGCUUGGAUAUGAACGAGUCUGCCAAACAAGAAGAUAUUUUAGAAUCCACAACAGAUGCUGCGGAAUGGAGUCUAGAAGUGGAACGUGUGCUACCACAACUGAAAGUCACGAUCAGGACUGACAACAAGGAUUGGAGAAUCCAUGUUGACCAAAUGCACCAGCACAAAAGUGGAAUUGAAUCUGCUCUAAAGGAGACCAAGGGGUUUUUGGACAAACUUCAUAAUGAGAUUAGUAGGACUCUGGAAAAGAUUGGCAGCCGAGAGAAGUACAUCAACAAUCAGCUUGAGCACUUGGUUCAGGAAUAUCGAGCAGCUCAAGCCCAGCUGAGUGAGGUAACUGAAGAAUGAGAUCCAGGGUUCAUUCCAAUUAAUGACCCUCAGCCCUAAACGCGACACAGCACUUUUCAUUUGAGAAUCUUGAAAUGCUUUGCACAAACUGCAGCACAUUGAUUCUCUGCCCACUUUAGGAAACCAAGUGAGGCAAUAGAACGUGUCACCUCCAUUUUACGGUGAUAGAAAUUACCUCCUAGAAGUCUGUAAACGCAUCUCUUCAUCUGACUUAAGGAGAGGAAGGCAUAUAUUGCUGAGGAACAUGGCUUAGAAUGGGAACAGAGUGUCAGGACACCUGGUUUUGUUUCUAAGUCGGCUGUUAAUUUACCGUCUGAGUAGGAGGAAGUAGAAUAGUAUGCAUUUACAUGUGUCAGGGAGAAAAGACAUUCUUGCCAUAAUGGCUUACAGCCACAUAAUAAAGAAUAUGAAAGCAAGACACGUUCAGAGACAAGCAGUUUAAUUAAUUAAAUGAGCAAUUUUUUUAAUCCUUUCAAAGUUUUAGAAUUUUCACCAAAAAUAAAAACCCUCAGCCUUUGGAAGCAGCCGAGCUUUGUUGCAGCCGAGCUUUGUUGCAGCAGUAGAGCUCUGAAGACUUUCCUUGGAAUUUAUGCCCCCUCUUUCGUAAUGUUGAGGAAGACUAGCAAGAACACUUGCAAAUGUCAGUUGAAGGCAUAUUUUUUUCUUUCAGCAGACAAGUUUAGAAGGAGAGAAAAAUGGAAAUAAACUUGAGAUAUACUUCUGUACUUUCAGAGGUUCUCAAAGGCCAAGCAGCAAGUAACCUUCACUGUUUUAUUGUUUAAUUUGUUUAAUUAAUUAUUCACACAUAUACACAUCUAUUUGUUGGUACUUUUACUUUUAAAAUGCUAUAAAAAGUCUCUGAUUAAAGCCACCCUCAAACAUUGAUAUUAAGUAAUUGAUUGUUAAAUUAGUUCCCAAGAUAGAUUCCGUAUUGUCAUACUGUUUGUUAAUCCUUAUUAAUUGCUGAUUCUGAUGCUCCAUUAUGAUUGAUUUUUCAGAACUGGUUUUCUCUGCAUAAGAUGCAGAUUAGAUCGACCAAAGCCUCUGUCUAAACUGUUUAGGAAUGACUGGGGAUAGUUUUUAUUGUGAACCAUGCCCAUGUGAGUUACACAGUCAGUAUAUGAAGGUUAAGGUAGUUCAUCAUUUCAUAGUGCUUUAGUUAAAUACAGGGUGCCUAUUAGGGACAUAAAAUAGCUACUGUUAAAUGUCACUCUUCACAAAUAUAUUCACAAACGAGGAGGGGGGUCGUCAUAAAAUGAUAUGCAGAAAUUGCAAACACAAAGAGGUCGUAUUUAAGUAAUCUGCUUCUGUUUUGAAUUUGCCAUUAAACAAAAUGCUUUCUCCCUAGGCAAGGGAGCGAUACCAGCAGGGAAACGGCGGAGUAACUGAAAGGACCAAACUCCUAUCUGAGGUUACGGAAGAGCUAGAAAAGGUAAAGCAAGAAAUGGAAGAAAAAGGGAGCAGUAUGACUGAUGGUGCUCCUUUGGUGAGGAUUAAACAGAGUUUAACGAAGCUGAAGCAAGAAACGGUUCAGAUGGACAUUAGAAUUGGUGUUGUGGAACACACAUUACUCCAGUCGAAACUGAAGGAGAAAUCCAACAUGACUAGGGACAUGCAUGCAACCAUCAUUCCAGAAUCUACCAUAGGCUCUUAUUAAAACGUAUUUUUCAUGCU